This 3107-nucleotide long non-coding RNA is filed under the name Homo sapiens (human). RNAcentral describes it as "HSALNT0214548". Lineage: Eukaryota; Metazoa; Chordata; Mammalia; Primates; Hominidae. The record is from RNAcentral.
GUUAGACCUGAAAACUCCAGGCUCGGGACCCAGGCCACAGGGCUGUGUGUUUUGUUUUGGGAGGGUGGGCCGACUAUAUGAUGCCCAAUCCUAGCAUAAACCAGUCAAUACAAUACAACAUCUGUGCUUGUCAUGAAAACAGGCAUUUCCAUCUACCCUUGAAGGCAACCAGCCUUCCGCAUCUGGAACCACUGGGUGCAUAAGGGACCUGGCAAUAAAUGAUGGGAAUUUGGCCUAUAGGUGAAUCACCAGGCUUGUGGCUCAGCUCAAAGCAUACGCCCUGCUGAACGGAGGAGUGGCAUUAUGUGCACACAGAGAAGGCAGCACCGUUCCCUGUCACAAUAUAGACUUUGUAAUACUCUACUAUGAGGAAAGAACAUCUUCUCUGAGCACACUGAAGAAAGACAGCCUAGAAAUUCCACAGAGCCAGAGUAUCAGCUCCCAGAGGCACCUUCCCAGUCUACACCACCCCAGAGAGAGAUUGGUCUGAUGGAUGGGGAAAGCGGUGUUGAAAGUGGCACUCGCUCAGAAAAGCCGAAGAGCUUGGGCAGAGCAGAGAAUGUCAGCAUCAUUCUCAUCUCCUUGCAGGUGAAACUACAAGAAAACUGAGGCCAGCAGGCAAUGAAGUAGACAUGUUUUGAGCAGCCCCCAGGGCUUCUGAUGCCCAAAGUCACAGAUGACUCCAGACCAUUGCUUCUCCAAUGUUCGUGGGCCAUGGAUCACCUGCAGGCCCUGUGAGAUGCAGGUUUCGAUCCAGCAGGAUGCAAGUGGCUAAUGCUAAAGGGCUGCCAGAGAACCAGGUGAUGACGCUCAUCUUGAAAGACAAGAUAAUAAGGGGACAAGCCAGAGCAAAGGAGAUACCAGAAAAAGAAGAAAGUGGUGAGGGAGAAGGAGGAUGGAAGGUGGGGAGAAGUUGUCCUAAGGGCUGGGGAACCAAGCCUUCCACUCCUGCUGCACAGGGCCAGAACAAUGGAACAAUCUUCUUGCCCCAGUCAUGCUUCUGGGCGGCAGGUCUCAAAGGGAACUGGCUGUUGUAAAUGCAUUUGCCCUUGGCCUCAGCAUCAAUCAGACUUGAGACCUUAGCGUCUGUGAUGGCAAACCGAUGGCCAUCCACACCUCCUUCCUAAGGUGAACCUCUGUGUAAAUCACAUGCCAAGACAACAGCAACGUUACCUCGAUUAAGUGCAAUGAAAUUGCCCAGGAAAGUUCGUUAUCGUGGACUCUGAGAGCUAGAGCCUUAGACCUUAGACACAGACAUCAUCUACCGUAACCAGACUUUACUGACGUAGAAACUGAGGUCCAAAGAAGUUGGUCAAGGUCAUGCACAUUAUUAGGUGCAGAGCUUGUGCCCCGACUGUCAGGACGGCACUAUUUCCACUACUCACACUGCCUAGCACAAAUACAUUUAAUUUUAGUUCAUCACACAUUCAGCCUGUGCUUUCGAGGAAUUUUAUAGUCCUCACUCCAUCUGUGCAUCUUGCCAUUCUACCAGCUUCCCUUCACUCAGUGCCUCCCAUGUAUCUAUCUGUCGCACUGUCCUGAAAAGAAGAGGAGAGGUCCAGGAGUUUAAAUUGAUCGCCAUCUGUGUGUCAUUUCGACAGCAUCGAGAUGGCUAAAACAACCACAGCUGAGAAUGCUCCAUUUCCUUUUUUUUUUUUUCUGAGACGGAGUCUCGCCGUCUCCUAGGCUGGAGUGCAGCAGCACAAUCUCGGCUCAUUGCAACCUCCGCAUCCGGAGUUCAAGCAAUUCUCCUGCCUCAGCCUCCAGAGUAGCUGGGAUUACAAGCGCCCGCCACCACGUCCAGCUACUUUUUUUUGUAUUUUUAGUAGAGAUGGGGUUCCACCAUGUUAGCCAGGCUGGUUUCAAACUCCUGACCUCAAGUGACCUGCCCACCUCGGCCUCCCAAAGUGCUAGGAUUACAGGCAUGAGCCACCACGCCCGGCCAAGAAUGCUCCAUUUUCUUCUGAAGGGCCAAUUCUGGAUCUACAGUCCACUUUGGGCAAGGGGAGGAAAAAGAUUGACAGCCACUAAGAUAAGGCCACCAUUGUCAACUUACAGCACACACUGUCAUUUAGAAAGGUAUUAGGUUUUACUUUUCAGAAGUGACUGCAAUACAGUUAAGACCAUUUAGGUAGAAACCAACCAGUCAGAAUGUAUUCAAAUGUGGCCGGGCACAGUGGCUCACACCUGUAAUCCCAGCACUUUGGGAGGCUGAGGCGGGUGGAUCACCCGAGGUCAGGAGUUCAAGACCAGCCUGGCCAACCAUGGCCAACAUGGUGAAACCUCAUCUCUACUAAAAAUACAAAAAUUAGCUGGGCGUGGUAGCAGGCACCUGUAAUCCCAGCUACUCAGGAGGCUGAGGCAGGAGAAUCACUUGAACCCAGGAGGUGGAGGUUGCAGUGAGCCGGGACCGUGCCACUGUACUCCAGCCUGGAAGACAGAGGGAGACUGUGUCUCAAAAAGAAAAAAAACAAGCAUGUAUUCAAAUGUGCACAGUCAUUAAAAUAACGUGUAUGGAAAAGUUAAAGGCUUGGUUUUCAGAUUGCCACAUGAUGAAAGCGAAGGGUGCUGAGCUGCAGCAUGAACCCCAUUUCUGCAGCCCUUGGUGCCGGAGGAGCAUGUAAAGUACCAUCAUUGUGACGGUGUGGUUGCCUCUGGAACCCAGGAGCAGAUGUUCUCCUCAUCUCUGCCAGGGCUUUGGUCAAAAGCUACACACCACUUGAAAUGGCUGUAGAGUUUUCAAAAUGCCACCAGGUGUGGAGGGAAAAAAGCAAUUAAACAUUCAAAUGGUUAAAGAAUAAUAGUUUGUUUCAUCCGCAAGUUGUGCAUCUUGGGGAGGCAGCGUACACAGCAUUAUUGUUUGUGAGGCACCAACCAACACCAGAAAGGCAUUUUAUUUGUGCGCAGAUACUAUAUGUGCAGAGAUGGCUAUCUGUGAAGAUAAAUGCUUCAGGGACUUUGAGCUUUAGAAAAAAAUGGGAUCUGGCUAAAGUUUCUCCUCUCUGCUUUCUCAGUUACUUUAAUCUUUUAUAACCUUACACAGGCCAGAUGGAAAUGGAGGCUUCCACUCAUCUAAGGUGUAGAAGUAAGUAAACCACCGAAAUUUC